GGGUGCGAUCAUACCAGCACUAAUGCACCGGAUCCCAUCAGAACUCCGCAGUUAAGCUUGCUUGGGCGAGAGUAGUACUAAGAUGGGUGACCUCCUGGGAAGUCCUCGUGUUGCACCCC
This 119-nucleotide ribosomal RNA is filed under the name Corchorus olitorius. Lineage: Eukaryota; Viridiplantae; Streptophyta; Magnoliopsida; Malvales; Malvaceae. The record is from RNAcentral.